UAUAUUAUGUACGUAACUGGAAGUAUAUUCCAUCGUCAUUGGUUCAAAUUCACUUUCACCGAACAAGAAAUCCCCUUUCGAUGAGCCUUUGUUGUCGAUGAACGUUCGUUUGUAGCUGUAAGUUUAUAUUGCAGUAGAUAGCAAUAUUAGCGUGUAAAGUUUAGAAGUUUACCUGGGUAACAAAGACCCUAUAGAAUGCUGGUUUUCUGGUGUUUCGUCAGUCUCGGUCUCGUCAUCGCCUCCGCUAGUCGCUCCUGUUACUUCUCCUUGCAACGAUUUCACGUCGUUCUCGUGUCCUUCGAAUGCCAAUGCAUUUGCUGGACCUUCUUGAGUAAUGCAAACAGUCUUAGAAAUCAUUUCGGAGUUCUCUGAGUUUGUAACAGGUCAUAGCACGCCAGUUCUGGGUUUACCAAAUGCAAUCAUUCGUCUUUGCUUACGAAAAGAUAAGACAGUUUAAGGCUUUCACAACGGAUGGCGCCUGACGACAAUGACUUUAAAAAGAGGGUAUUCAUCAUGGUUGCCAAGCAACAGCAUGUAAACAAAAACACAAUUUCUUAUGAUUUUGAAGUUUUUGCUAGAAGAAAUAGAUUAUUUUAGUUGAAAGGAAUCUUAAGAGCUGUACUACAAUAUGUAGCAGAUGGAAGAGUUUUAGAUAUGCAAAGUAUUAACGUACCAUACAGAUACACAGGACAUGGUUUAGCAAGAUUACUUGCAGAGACUGCAUUUACGUAUGCCAUACUAAAUCAUUACUAUAUGUUCUU
This is a non-coding RNA of Nomia melanderi (Alkali bee), 761 nucleotides long. The record is from RefSeq and is a predicted model, not a curated record. NCBI's taxonomy places the organism in Eukaryota, Metazoa, Arthropoda, Insecta, Hymenoptera, Halictidae.